GAUGAACGCUGGCGGCGUGCCUAAUACAUGCAAGUCGAGCGAACGGACGAGAAGCUUGCUUCUCUGAUGUUAGCGGCGGACGGGUGAGUAACACGUGGAUAACCUACCUAUAAGACUGGGAUAACUUCGGGAAACCGGAGCUAAUACCGGAUAAUAUUUUGAACCGCAUGGUUCAAAAGUGAAAGACGGUCUUGCUGUCACGUAUAGAUGGAUCCGCGCUGCAUUAGCUAGUUGGUAAGGUAACGGCUUACCAAGGCAACGAUGCAUAGCCGACCUGAGAGGGUGAUCGGCCACACUGGAACUGAGACACGGUCCAGACUCCUACGGGAGGCAGCAGUAUGGAAUCUUCCGCAAUGGGCGAAAGCCUGACGGAGCAACGCCGCGUGAGUGAUGAAGGUCUUCGGAUCGUAAAACUCUGUUAUUAGGGAAGAACAUAUGUGUAAGUAACUGUGCACAUCUUGACGGUACCUAAUCAGAAAGCCACGGCUAACUACGUG
This 497-nucleotide ribosomal RNA is filed under the name uncultured bacterium. Its description in RNAcentral is "partial 16S ribosomal RNA". It matches the Rfam family "Bacterial small subunit ribosomal RNA", at positions 28 to 507 of the family's 1533-position model. The record is from RNAcentral.